This 253-nucleotide ribosomal RNA is filed under the name uncultured bacterium. Its description in RNAcentral is "partial 16S ribosomal RNA". It matches the Rfam family "Bacterial small subunit ribosomal RNA", at positions 524 to 776 of the family's 1533-position model. The record is from RNAcentral.
UACGAAGGGGGCUAGCGUUGCUCGGAAUUAUUGGGCGUAAAGAGCUUGUAGGCGGUUUGUCGCGUCUGCUGUGAAAUUUCGGGGCUCAACCCCGAACUUGCAGUGGGUACGGGCAGACUAGAGUGUGGUAGGGGAGACUGGAAUUCCUGGUGUAGCGGUGAAAUGCGCAGAUAUCAGGAGGAACACCGAUGGCGAAGGCAGGUCUCUGGGCCACUACUGACGCUGAGAAGCGAAAGCAUGGGGAGCGAACAGG